GGGCGGUUAGCUCAGUGGUAGAGCGUCUGCUUUACACGCAGAAUGUCGGGAGUUCGACCCUCUCACCGCCCA
RNAcentral lists this transfer RNA (72 nucleotides) under Chloroflexota bacterium. RNAcentral describes it as "Chloroflexi bacterium tRNA-Val". It matches the Rfam family "tRNA". From Rfam's summary of the family: Transfer RNA (tRNA) molecules are approximately 80 nucleotides in length. Their secondary structure includes four short double-helical elements and three loops (D, anti-codon, and T loops). Further hydrogen bonds mediate the characteristic L-shaped molecular structure. tRNAs have two regions of fundamental functional importance: the anti-codon, which is responsible for specific mRNA codon recognition, and the 3' end, to which the tRNAs corresponding amino acid is attached (by aminoacyl-tRNA synthetases). tRNAs cope with the degeneracy of the genetic code in two manners: having more than one tRNA (with a specific anti-codon) for a particular amino acid; and 'wobble' base-pairing, i.e. permitting non-standard base-pairing at the 3rd anti-codon position. The record is from RNAcentral. Lineage: Bacteria; Bacillati; Chloroflexota. RNAcentral also lists the same sequence under 1 other name.